This 491-nucleotide ribosomal RNA is filed under the name uncultured bacterium. RNAcentral describes it as "partial 16S ribosomal RNA". It matches the Rfam family "Bacterial small subunit ribosomal RNA", at positions 29 to 507 of the family's 1533-position model. The record is from RNAcentral.
GUGAACGCUGGCGGUAGGCCUAACACAUGCAAGUCGAACGGCAGCACAGUAAGAGCUUGCUCUUACGGGUGGCGAGUGGCGGACGGGUGAGGAAUACAUCGGAAUCUACUUUUUCGUGGGGGAUAACGUAGGGAAACUUACGCUAAUACCGCAUACGACCUACGGGUGAAAGCAGGGGAUCUUCGGACCUUGCGCGAUUGAAUGAGCCGAUGUCGGAUUAGCUAGUUGGCGGGGUAAAGGCCCACCAAGGCGACGAUCCGUAGCUGGUCUGAGAGGAUGAUCAGCCACACUGGAACUGAGACACGGUCCAGACUCCUACGGGAGGCAGCAGUGGGGAAUGUUGGACAAUGGGCGCAAGCCUGAUCCAGCCAUACCGCGUGGGUGAAGAAGGCCUUCGGGUUGUAAAGCCCUUUUGUUGGGAAAGAAAAGCAGCAGGUUAAUACCCCGCUGUUCUGACGGUACCCAAAGAAUAAGCACCGGCUAACUUCGUG